RNAcentral lists this ribosomal RNA (2902 nucleotides) under Shigella flexneri K-304. Its description in RNAcentral is "bacterial LSU rRNA". It matches the Rfam family "Bacterial large subunit ribosomal RNA". The record is from RNAcentral. Lineage: Bacteria; Pseudomonadati; Pseudomonadota; Gammaproteobacteria; Enterobacterales; Enterobacteriaceae.
UUAAGCGACUAAGCGUACACGGUGGAUGCCCUGGCAGUCAGAGGCGAUGAAGGACGUGCUAAUCUGCGAUAAGCGUCGGUAAGGUGAUAUGAACCGUUAUAACCGGCGAUUUCCGAAUGGGGAAACCCAGUGUGAUUCGUCACACUAUCAUUAACUGAAUCCAUAGGUUAAUGAGGCGAACCGGGGGAACUGAAACAUCUAAGUACCCCGAGGAAAAGAAAUCAACCGAGAUUACCCCAGUAGCGGCGAGCGAACGGGGAGCAGCCCAGAGCCUGAAUCAGUGUGUGUGUUAGUGGAAGCGUCUGGAAAGGCGUGCGAUACAGGGUGACAGCCCCGUACACAAAAAUGCACAUACUGUGAGCUCGAUGAGUAGGGCGGGACACGUGGUAUCCUGUCUGAAUAUGGGGGACCAUCCUCCAAGGCUAAAUACUCCUGACUGACCGAUAGUGAACCAGUACCGUGAGGGAAAGGCGAAAAGAACCCCGGCGAGGGGAGUGAAAAAGAACCUGAAAACCGUGUACGUACAAGCAGUGGGAGCACGCUUAGGCGUGUGACUGCGUACCUUUUGUAUAAUGGGUCAGCGACUUAUAUUCUGUAGCAAGGUUAACCGAAUAGGGGAGCCGAAGGGAAACCGAGUCUUAACUGGGCGUUAAGUUGCAGGGUAUAGACCCGAAACCCGGUGAUCUAGCCAUGGGCAGGUUGAAGGUUGGGUAACACUAACUGGAGGACCGAACCGACUAAUGUUGAAAAAUUAGCGGAUGACUUGUGGCUGGGGGUGAAAGGCCAAUCAAACCGGGAGAUAGCUGGUUCUCCCCGAAAGCUAUUUAGGUAGCGCCUCGUGAAUUCAUCUCCGGGGGUAGAGCACUGUUUCGGCAAGGAGGUCAUCCCGACUUACCAACCCGAUGCAAACUGCGAAUACCGGAGAAUGUUAUCACGGGAGACACACGGCGGGUGCUAACGUCCGUCGUGAAGAGGGAAACAACCCAGACCGCCAGCUAAGGUCCCAAAGUCAUGGUUAAGUGGGAAACGAUGUGGGAAGGCCCAGACAGCCAGGAUGUUGGCUUAGAAGCAGCCAUCAUUUAAAGAAAGCGUAAUAGCUCACUGGUCGAGUCGGCCUGCGCGGAAGAUGUAACGGGGCUAAACCAUGCACCGAAGCUGCGGCAGCGACGCUUAUGCGUUGUUGGGUAGGGGAGCGUUCUGUAAGCCUGUGAAGGUGUGCUGUGAGGUAUGCUGGAGGUAUCAGAAGUGCGAAUGCUGACAUAAGUAACGAUAAAGCGGGUGAAAAGCCCGCUCGCCGGAAGACCAAGGGUUCCUGUCCAACGUUAAUCGGGGCAGGGUGAGUCGACCCCUAAGGCGAGGCCGAAAGGCGUAGUCGAUGGGAAACAGGUUAAUAUUCCUGUACUUGGUGUUACUGCGAAGGGGGGACGGAGAAGGCUAUGUUGGCCGGGCGACGGUUGUCCCGGUUUAAGCGUGUAGGCUGGUUUUCCAGGCAAAUCCGGAAAAUCAAGGCCGAGGCGUGAUGACGAGGCACUACGGUGCUGAAGCAACAAAUGCCCUGCUUCCAGGAAAAGCCUCUAAGCAUCAGGUAACAUCAAAUCGUACCCCAAACCGACACAGGUGGUCAGGUAGAGAAUACCAAGGCGCUUGAGAGAACUCGGGUGAAGGAACUAGGCAAAAUGGUGCCGUAACUUCGGGAGAAGGCACGCUGAUACGUAGGUGAAGCGACUUGCUCGUGGAGCUGAAAUCAGUCGAAGAUACCAGCUGGCUGCAACUGUUUAUUAAAAACACAGCACUGUGCAAACACGAAAGUGGACGUAUACGGUGUGACGCCUGCCCGGUGCCGGAAGGUUAAUUGAUGGGGUUAGCGCAAGCGAAGCUCUUGAUCGAAGCCCCGGUAAACGGCGGCCGUAACUAUAACGGUCCUAAGGUAGCGAAAUUCCUUGUCGGGUAAGUUCCGACCUGCACGAAUGGCGUAAUGAUGGCCAGGCUGUCUCCACCCGAGACUCAGUGAAAUUGAACUCGCUGUGAAGAUGCAGUGUACCCGCGGCAAGACGGAAAGACCCCGUGAACCUUUACUAUAGCUUGACACUGAACAUUGAGCCUUGAUGUGUAGGAUAGGUGGGAGGCUUUGAAGUGUGGACGCCAGUCUGCAUGGAGCCGACCUUGAAAUACCACCCUUUAAUGUUUGAUGUUCUAACGUGGACCCGUGAUCCGGGUUGCGGACAGUGUCUGGUGGGUAGUUUGACUGGGGCGGUCUCCUCCUAAAGAGUAACGGAGGAGCACGAAGGUUGGCUAAUCCUGGUCGGACAUCAGGAGGUUAGUGCAAUGGCAUAAGCCAGCUUGACUGCGAGCGUGACGGCGCGAGCAGGUGCGAAAGCAGGUCAUAGUGAUCCGGUGGUUCUGAAUGGAGGGGCCAUCGCUCAACGGAUAAAAGGUACUCCGGGGAUAACAGGCUGAUACCGCCCAAGAGUUCAUAUCGACGGCGGUGUUUGGCACCUCGAUGUCGGCUCAUCACAUCCUGGGGCUGAAGUAGGUCCCAAGGGUAUGGCUGUUCGCCAUUUAAAGUGGUACGCGAGCUGGGUUUAGAACGUCGUGAGACAGUUCGGUCCCUAUCUGCCGUGGGCGCUGGAGAACUGAGGGGGGCUGCUCCUAGUACGAGAGGACCGGAGUGGACGCAUCACUGGUGUUCGGGUUGUCAUGCCAAUGGCACUGCCCGGUAGCUAAAUGCGGAAGAGAUAAGUGCUGAAAGCAUCUAAGCACGAAACUUGCCCCGAGAUGAGUUCUCCCUGACCCUUUAAGGGUCCUGAAGGAACGUUGAAGACGACGACGUUGAUAGGCCGGGUGUGUAAGCGCAGCGAUGCGUUGAGCUAACCGGUACUAAUGAACCGUGAGGCUUAACCUU